RNAcentral lists this transfer RNA (67 nucleotides) under Pteropus alecto (black flying fox). It matches the Rfam family "tRNA". Rfam says of the family: Transfer RNA (tRNA) molecules are approximately 80 nucleotides in length. Their secondary structure includes four short double-helical elements and three loops (D, anti-codon, and T loops). The record is from Rfam by way of RNAcentral. Lineage: Eukaryota; Metazoa; Chordata; Mammalia; Chiroptera; Pteropodidae. RNAcentral also lists the same sequence under 1 other name.
GUCUCCAUAGUGUAGUGGUUAGCACGUCUGCUUUAUAUGCAGAAGGUUUGUGCCCCAAGUGGAGCCA